GGCGCGUUCGUCUAGUGGCCUAGGACGCCGGCCUCUCACGUCGGUAACACGGGUUCGACUCCCGUACGCGCUACCA
This 76-nucleotide transfer RNA is filed under the name Candidatus Zhuqueibacterota bacterium 4484_87. Its description in RNAcentral is "candidate division KSB1 bacterium 4484_87 tRNA-Glu". It matches the Rfam family "tRNA". From Rfam's summary of the family: Transfer RNA (tRNA) molecules are approximately 80 nucleotides in length. Their secondary structure includes four short double-helical elements and three loops (D, anti-codon, and T loops). The record is from RNAcentral. RNAcentral also lists the same sequence under 1 other name. Lineage: Bacteria; Pseudomonadati.